UUAGGGCUUCACCCCCACUCCUCACCCCCAGUUCCUUGGAGAGAAGAGGGUCACUCGGGUCUUCAGAGUAGGGACCUGGCUGGGCCUGCUGGCUGGAGGCGGGAGGGUGCAGAGCCCCAGCCUGAGCUGGGACUUUAACAACCCCAGCGCCAGCCCCGCAGCCCGUGCCUGUCUUCGUGACAGGGCUGCGUCCUGUGCUGUCAACUACACCCCUCCGAUGGGGUUGCUAGGCAGCGGGGCUCUGAUGUGGGGGAAGGCCUUCUGAUUUGUCAGCCUCCUGCAGACACAUGGUUAAGGCUCCUUCCAGCCUAUCCGGAGGAGGGACGCGGGGCACGCUGCCUGCAUACUGCCGAGCCCCGGGUCCACCUGAAUGUGAGGUGCAAAAGGCAGCUAGAGGGAGGGGGCACCUGGAGCCCACCAGCCUCCUAACCAGCUCAGCCCCACGCCCCCAUUAUCUCCACUGGGGCUUGCUGCUGCCUCCUCCCUGUCUGUCCCUGCCCCAUUCCUCCCCUCUUCCCCAAACCAUGGAAAAGCAAAAUGCAGCGGGGAAAAGAGGUACUGUCUGAUGAGCGUGAAAGGCUGUUUCACUGACUUCCACAUCGACUUCGGAGGCACGUCUGUUUGGUACCAUGUUUUCCGGGGUGGGAAGAUCUUUUGGCUGAUUCCUCCAACCCUGCACAAUUUGGCACUGUAUGAGGAGUGGGUGCUGUCAGGCAAACAGAGUGACAUCUUCCUGGGAGACCGCGUGGAGCGAUGCCAAAGAAUUGAGCUGAAACAGGGCUACACGUUUUUCAUCCCUUCCGGUAGGUUCCAGCGAGCCUGGCGUCGGGCUCUCCCUCGGCCUGGCUCUCCCAGCGCUGGGAGAAGACUCCCACAUCCCUGUGGCCUCAGCCAGGGUUUCGGGCCAAGUGACGGGGUUCUGUGGGCUGCGUGGCCAUUGGCAGUCUCUGAGAGCACAUCUAACCUGUGUCUCCCUGCCUGUGGGCUAGAAUUCACUCCUGGGAUAAAGCCUAGGGCCCUCCCUCGGGGGAAGCGUGAAUGGCUUCCCCCAGGAAGUCCUGUGGAGAUUUCUGUGUAGGGGAUGACAGUGGUACUGUGGUGAGGGGGGUGGGUUUAUCCCCUUGAAGGAGGAAUUGGUUGGUUUCCCCAAGGAAUGCAACGUAUGGUAAUGGCGGUUCCAGGCAGGUUGUGGGGAAGGGUGGACCCCAGGGUGGAGGGUCUUACAGGCAUGCCUGAAAGCCUAGGGAAUGGGCAGAGGGGAAUGUAGCUUUGGGGAAGGACCCAAUGUGGUAGCCUCCUUCCUGCAGAACAAGGUGAAAUAUAGUCAAGGUCAAUGUCAGCUCUUGCACUUGGACUUACCCCCCACCCCCCGCCAAAAAAUUAAGAAGAAAAGAGAAAAAGAAAUUAAGGCUGCGAGUAUAAUAGAGGGCAGUAAUUGAGAGCGCUGGCCCUGGAGCCAGACUGCACGACCUUAGUUUGAAUUUCAGCUCUGGUGCUUACGAGCUAUGACUUCACAGGAGUGAGUUAAGCUCUCUGUGCCUCAGUGUUCUUGUCUGUAAAAUGGGAGUGAGAGUUCCCGGGGUGGUAGUGAGGACUGAGUGAGCUGAGACCUACAUGCCUACAGCUCUUUCGUCAUGGACUGAGGGCUUUUGGGCACUUAUAGGCUAAGGCACCAGUGAGUAUGACAGAUGCCCUAGGGGUCAGCGAGUGCAGUCUUGGGCUGCAUUAACAGUAACA
This is a long non-coding RNA of Ailuropoda melanoleuca (giant panda), 1737 nucleotides long. RefSeq lists it as uncharacterized. The transcript is spliced from 3 exons. The record is from RefSeq and is a predicted model, not a curated record. NCBI's taxonomy places the organism in Eukaryota, Metazoa, Chordata, Mammalia, Carnivora, Ursidae.